UCCAGGGUAACCUAGUGGACAUGGCAUCUGCCCGGUAAGCGGAACAUUGUGGGUUCGAUUCCCAUCUCUGGAC
RNAcentral lists this transfer RNA (73 nucleotides) under Cordylochernes scorpioides. RNAcentral describes it as "tRNA-Thr". It matches the Rfam family "tRNA". Rfam says of the family: Transfer RNA (tRNA) molecules are approximately 80 nucleotides in length. Their secondary structure includes four short double-helical elements and three loops (D, anti-codon, and T loops). Lineage: Eukaryota; Metazoa; Arthropoda; Arachnida; Pseudoscorpiones; Chernetidae. The record is from RNAcentral.